CCAAAAUCGCCUCCCCCGUGUUCUGAUUUCUUCUUCUCAAUUUAUAGGACCAAUUGAUCAAUCUUCAUGACCAUUGGAUAAUCUUGAGUAUUGAUUAAAGUGUGCUUUGGCCAAAAAAUGGUUUUGCAAAGAUAAAAGAAGAAAUGAAGUGAUUGGUCCUUCAUGCUUGCUUGUGAAUUUGGUGAAGUUUUUGCAUGGUUUUGGUGAAAAGUUGAAGAAGAGAGUGAAGCUAGCAGCAGGGUAGGGAGGAGGCGCAGCACUGUUCAUGGAGGAAAGGGAAUGUGCACUGUGCUGUCAGCUACAGUGUUCUGUCCUUCUUGUUUCAUUUUUUU
RNAcentral lists this long non-coding RNA (332 nucleotides) under Trifolium pratense (red clover). RNAcentral describes it as "long non-coding RNA (TPRA_LNC012258)". The record is from RNAcentral. Lineage: Eukaryota; Viridiplantae; Streptophyta; Magnoliopsida; Fabales; Fabaceae.